This 457-nucleotide ribosomal RNA is filed under the name uncultured marine microorganism. RNAcentral describes it as "bacterial SSU rRNA". It matches the Rfam family "Bacterial small subunit ribosomal RNA", at positions 355 to 827 of the family's 1533-position model. The record is from RNAcentral.
UGGGGAAUCUUCCGCAAUGGGCGAAAGCCUGACGGAGCAAUACCGCGUGAGGGAGGAAUGCCUUUGGGUUGUAAACCUCUUUUCUCAGGGAAGAAGAUCUGACGGUACCUGAGGAAUAAGUAUCGGCUAACUCCGUGCCAGCAGCCGCGGUAAUACGGAGGAUGCAAGCGUUAUCCGGAAUCAUUGGGCGUAAAGCGUCCGCAGGUGGUCUCCAAAGUCUGCUGUUAAAGACUGGAGCUCAACUCCGGAACGGCGGUGGAAACUUGGAAACUAGAGUUCGGUAGGGGUAGCAGGAAUUCCCAGUGUAGCGGUGAAAUGCGUAGAUAUUGGGAAGAACAUCGGUGGCGAAGGCGUGCUACUGGACCGUAACUGACACUCAGGGACGAAAGCUAGGGGAGCGAAAGGGAUUAGAUACCCCUGUAGUCCUAGCUGUAAACGAUGGAAACUAGGUGUGGCU